ACGCAUCAUGCGGGAGAGAGCGGGCGCCCCAGGGCGAGCCGCCGCCGAAGGCGCAAUUCGCCCGGAAUCGCUCAGGCAACCCAUACCGCAGCAUGCCU
Molecule: non-coding RNA, 98 nt
Organism: Bordetella flabilis
Lineage: Bacteria; Pseudomonadati; Pseudomonadota; Betaproteobacteria; Burkholderiales; Alcaligenaceae
Source: Rfam